RNAcentral lists this ribosomal RNA (253 nucleotides) under uncultured bacterium. RNAcentral's name for it is "partial 16S ribosomal RNA". It matches the Rfam family "Bacterial small subunit ribosomal RNA", at positions 524 to 776 of the family's 1533-position model. The record is from RNAcentral.
UACAGGGGGUGCAAACGUUGCUCGGAUUUAUUGGGCGUAAAGCGCGCGUAGGCGGCUACUUAAGUCGGAUGUGAAAGCCCUUGGCUCAACUGAGGAAGUGCACCCGAAACUGAGUGGCUUGAGUACUAAAGAGGGUCGCGGAAUUCCGAGUGUAGAGGUGAAAUUCGUAGAUAUUCGGAAGAACACCAGUGGCGAAGGCGACUUACUGGACAGAUAUUGACGCUGAGGUGCGAAAGCGUGGGGAGCAAACAGG